UGGGGAUUGGUGUAAUUGGCAGCACGCGAGUUUCUGGUAUUCGUAGUCGGGGUUCAAGUCCCUGAUCCCCAG
This 72-nucleotide transfer RNA is filed under the name Solirubrobacterales bacterium. RNAcentral describes it as "tRNA-Gln". It matches the Rfam family "tRNA". Rfam says of the family: Transfer RNA (tRNA) molecules are approximately 80 nucleotides in length. The record is from RNAcentral. Lineage: Bacteria; Bacillati; Actinomycetota; Thermoleophilia; Solirubrobacterales. RNAcentral also lists the same sequence under 2 other names.